RNAcentral lists this transfer RNA (75 nucleotides) under Pseudoalteromonas xiamenensis. RNAcentral describes it as "tRNA-His". It matches the Rfam family "tRNA". From Rfam's summary of the family: Transfer RNA (tRNA) molecules are approximately 80 nucleotides in length. Their secondary structure includes four short double-helical elements and three loops (D, anti-codon, and T loops). Lineage: Bacteria; Pseudomonadati; Pseudomonadota; Gammaproteobacteria; Alteromonadales; Pseudoalteromonadaceae. The record is from RNAcentral.
GCGGCUGUAGCUCAGUUGGUAGAUUCCGGAUUGUGAUUCCGGUUGUCGUGGGUUCAAUCCCCAUCAGUCGCCCCA